UGUUCCAUGUCCAGUUCUAACCGUUGCUUCCUGACUUGCAUACAGAUUUCUCAGGAAGCAGGUCAGGUCAUCUGGUAAUCCCAUCUCUUUAAGAAUUUUCAGAUAAUUGCCAUUUAAUGAUAUUAAUCUUCUAAUCCAUGAAGCAUGAUUUUUUUUUUAUUGUGGUUUUAUCUAUCUAUCUAUAUAAUGAUAUGGGCCAUUACAAUAAUUUAAAGUUUUCAUUUUAGUGACAUUAAUUACAUUCAUAUUGUUUUGCAAUUAUCACCACUAUUUCUAUAAAUUUCCAUCACCCCAAAUGGAAACCAUGCUUUUCUUUAACCAGCAGUACUGAAAUUGCCAACUUACUAGUUACCAUAUGGUCUCCUAUGGCCCCCAAAAUUCUUUUUCAGAUCAGUAAUUUAACACCAAACCCUGAAUCCCAGGGAAUCCUGGUACUUGUCUUUAGAAGAAUAUAAAUGAGUCUUUGUUAAGAAAUUGGGCUUUAGAGUCUUCAAAUCCCAGCUCUGCCAUUGACAAGCAGGUUAAUUUACUUCUCUCAGUCUUCCAUUAUCAUAGACAAAUUUAAACGGUUUCAUUUCUAUCACCCUUCCAGGUGUGGGCAUCCCUAAAUGGGGUGCAGAGACUCCCAGGGAUACUCAGCAGCCUGCCACAUGCUGUGGAAGCCACAGAAUGAACACACACAUUGUCCAGGAACAUAUUUUUCCCCCACAAAGCUAACAUUAGGUAAUUUAACUGCAAAUGAGUUUUUAAACUUUUAUAGCAUACUAUAUAUAUAUAUAUAUAUAUAUAUAUAUAUAUAUAUUAUAGAAUUACAUGUAAGAUUUACACUCAUUAUAAUAUAAAAAAUAAGACUUACAAUAAAUCUAAAGCCUUUAUUUGUGUGCUGUGAGCUAACUCUUCUUCCUUUCCACCUCCCCACAUGCCCCUUAGCAAGUCUUCUACCCUUUAGUCUCCUUCUCAGGUCUAACAGACAUUCACUCUUCAUUCACAGCCCUUUUCCUACAGAACCUCAGAAUUCUCAACACAGCUCUCCAGGCAGGCACUGUUACUGUAUCAACUUGAAGUCUGUUUGCCAUCUCUGUUCAGCUAGUCAACAACUAUAUGCUUAACCUAUAUUUUACCAUUUCAGGCUAUUUGAAAUAAAAUUAGUAGUUCUGAAAAUCAAGGUGGUUUUAUUUACUUCUGGCUUUCCAAAGGUUAUGUUCUUCCUUUCAAAUUAUUUUACUUUCUCUGUUUUUACAUAUAAAUUAUAAUAAAGAUAAUGAAAGACAUCAGAUGAUAUGUUGACUUUAAAAAUGACAGUAUCCAUCAUGUCAUCUUAAAUCUGCUGGUCCAAAGGUAUUUAAAUUUUGUGUAACUUUGUUCUUCUAAUAGCCAUAAUGGAAAUCACAUGUCCACUAGUAUGAAAAAACCCUUUGGAAACAUCUUUGCAAAACACUUGUGGCUCAGAUGGGAAAGAAUCUGCCUGCAAUGCAAGAGACUCAGGUUCGAUCCCUGGGUCGGGAAGACAGCUUGGAGAAUUCCAUGGACAGAGGAGCCUGGUGUGUUACAGUCCAUGGGAGUUGCAAAGAGUCAGACAUGACUAAGUGAUUAAUUUUUUUUUUUCCAUGCACUGUGAUCAUUAGAUCCUAUUUAAGAAAGAUUAAAUUGUGUUUCAUUUCAUAUUUAGGAAAGGUUUGAUUUCUGUUUUAUUACAUCAAUUUAAACACAGAGGUUUGUUUGGGAUUCUUUUUUAGAUCCUCAUCUCUUUAUAGAGAGAUUCAGAGAUAGAAGAUGAAGAGAUGGACAAGGACAGGUAAAAGAACAAGUCUCUUUUUGAUUAAACCAUUAAAUAUCUAAACAUCUGUAUUUUUCUUCCCCGUGUCCUACCUACCAACUUUUUAUGAUCAGAAGCUAGCGUGACACAUUGCCUUAAUUUGUAUCUAGCUGUUGCUAAGCUGUCACUAUGGUACCAAUGCACUCAGGCAAAUAUAAUAGCUAAAAACAAAUGUGUAGGAAGAAAAUUUUGUCCCUAGCUCCCUCACCUCUCCUGUCAUCUGGAUGAGUAGUUCAACAUUGAAUUUCUGUGUCAUAAUUGCUUUACAUCUGUAACAAAACAAAUUAACCCGAAACUUUUGAAAACCAAAUUAUUACAGUGCAUAAAAAUAUAAUGAUGUCUGCAAAUGUCAUUUACAAAAGUCAUCACUAGUCUUUGUACCUAUACCUUGUAAUGAUUGAAACAGCCUGCGUGGUAACAGUGAUUGAUUUUUUUUGCCCUCAAGCAAUGUAAAACAGCAAAAAUACUGUCCUAUUAAUUAUAAUUUUAUGGUAAUGCAAUCACAAUGAAUGGCAUCUUUUUGUUCUUUCUCAAUGGUUAAAAUUUUUCAAAUAGUUUUAAAAUUUUCAAAUUCUAGUAGAUAAUUUCAGCAAAAUGACCUAAUGUAAGCUUUAUCUUCAAGAGUGGUAUAAAUAUAAACUGUACUCUCCAGUAUUAUAUCUCAGUCCUGUUACUUUCUUUGCCUCACUGCAUAUGCAAUUAAUCCAAAAGGAAAAGCUUAAUUUUCUUAAAAGGGCC
RNAcentral lists this long non-coding RNA (2554 nucleotides) under Bos taurus (domestic cattle). Its description in RNAcentral is "long non-coding RNA NONBTAT031542". Lineage: Eukaryota; Metazoa; Chordata; Mammalia; Artiodactyla; Bovidae. The record is from RNAcentral.